CUUGACCUCUCCGCCGGGUGAAGCUUCUUCACCCACCUCACGUGGCCCCCACCAGUUCACCCGGGACCACGGCUGACUCACCGUCUGGGAAUCUGGAGUAGGCACUGCCUUUGUAAAAAAGCCGUGCUAAAAACUUGCUGUGCAAGAUAAACAGGGAAAACAUGCUGUUUGGCACACGCAGGGUUCAGAUGUUGACCAUUGUGUUCCCUGGGAGUUAAUCAUCACAGGUCAGCCCUGCCUUUGCAGUGGGAGGGAGGUGUGCUCCGCUGCUUGCUCAAUAUUAAGGAAGCAGGUGCAGCAACAACUCAUUGUUGUGUGUUGCUGGUGGAAGAGCCUGUAGAAGAGAAGGCUUUGCACAAGACUACAUGCGGCAACAUUUGGGAUGUAAAUGCAUUAGAAAACCACCCACCUAGGCUGGCUUUUCAGAGCCUUUUGGUCUUCCCUGGGGAACUGAAGACAGGGGAAGAUCUGGGCACAUCCUCUGAGUAAACCACAGCUGAAGAGGUUUUCAAACUGUUCAUGCUUCAGAACACUGGAAGACUCCAGUAGGAAUAACUAUAAACCUACUCAUUACAGUCUGCAGAUCUCCUAGUGUGGGUGAGUGAAUAAGCAUCUGAAAACAACUGUGCUUUAUUCUUUUUCUUACACAUCUGCCAUG
RNAcentral lists this long non-coding RNA (658 nucleotides) under Coturnix japonica (Japanese quail). RNAcentral's name for it is "lncRNA (ENSCJPG00005017966.1)". Lineage: Eukaryota; Metazoa; Chordata; Aves; Galliformes; Phasianidae. The record is from RNAcentral.